RNAcentral lists this ribosomal RNA (433 nucleotides) under uncultured bacterium. RNAcentral describes it as "partial 16S ribosomal RNA". It matches the Rfam family "Bacterial small subunit ribosomal RNA", at positions 29 to 507 of the family's 1533-position model. The record is from RNAcentral.
AACGAACGCUGGCGGCAUGCCUAACACAUGCAAGUCGAACGAGACCUUCGGGUCUAGUGGCGCACGGGUGCGUAACGCGUGGGAAUCUGCCCUUCGGUUGGGAAUAACUGAGAGAAAUUUCAGCUAAUACCUUAUAAUGUCUUCGGACCAAAGAUUUAUCGCCGAGGGAUGAGCCCGCGUAGGAUUAGGUAGUUGGUGGGGUAAUGGCCUACCAAGCCGACGAUCCUUAGCUGGUCUGAGAGGAUGAUCAGCCACACUGGGACUGAGACACGGCCCAGACUCCUACGGGAGGCAGGAGUGGGGAAUAUUGGACAAUGGGCGAAAGCCUGAUCCAGCAAUGCCGCGUGAGUGAUGAAGGCCUUAGGGUUGUAAAGCUCUUUUACCCGGGAUGAUAAUGACAGUACCGGGAGAAUAAGCUCCGGCUAACUCCGUG